UACGGGGGGGGCAAGCGUUGUUCGGAAUUACUGGGCGUAAAGGGCUCGUAGGCGGCCAACUAAGUCAGACGUGAAAUCCCUCGGCUUAACCGGGGAACUGCGUCUGAUACUGGAUGGCUUGAAUCCGGGAGAGGGAUGCAGAAUUCCAGGUGUAGCGGUGAAAUGCGUAGAUAUCUGGAGGAAUACCGGUGGCGAAGGCGGCGUCCUGGACCAACACUGACACUGAGGAGCGAAAGCCAGGGGAGCAAACGGG
RNAcentral lists this ribosomal RNA (253 nucleotides) under uncultured bacterium. RNAcentral's name for it is "partial 16S ribosomal RNA". It matches the Rfam family "Bacterial small subunit ribosomal RNA", at positions 524 to 776 of the family's 1533-position model. The record is from RNAcentral.